Molecule: long non-coding RNA, 333 nt
Organism: Helianthus annuus (common sunflower)
Lineage: Eukaryota; Viridiplantae; Streptophyta; Magnoliopsida; Asterales; Asteraceae
Exons: 3
Source: RefSeq, a predicted model, not a curated record
GCUACAGUGGCUGCGUUUCCUAAUAUGGAUGAUAAGAUCGAAAGCAUUAGCUUGAAGAUAAACACUUGACCAAUCAACUUGGAGUUGCUUAUAGCAUGCGUAACAAUUACAUAUAGAAUGAAGCCGCGUCUCAAAGAAGACACCUAAAGAAUGAUGUCAAAGGGAACCGCUUUUUGGAUGGCUACAGCCCGGUCACACUAUGCAGUCGAAAGCCUGGCAUAAGCCGAAAAGCAUAUGGCCACCGUCUUCCAGAAAUGUACAACAGAGAAACAUGUUUUCUACAACUUAUCGAACCUAAUACAGCUGGUGUUGGUAAGAUAAGUUGUAAACAAA